GCAGUCGAGCGGAACCUUGGAGCUUGCUCCAGUGGUUUAGCGGCGGACGGGUGAGUAACACGUGGGCAACCUGCCCUGCCUGNGGGAUAACUCCGGGAAACCGGUGCUAAUACCGAAUAGUUUGCGGCCUCUCAUGAGGCUGCACGGAAAGACGGUUUCGGCUGUCACUGCAGGAUGGGCCCGCGGCGCAUUAGCUAGUUGGUGAGGUAACGGCUCACCAAGGCCACGAUGCGUAGCCGACCUGAGAGGGUGAUCGGCCACACUGGGACUGAGACACGGCCCAGACUCCUACGGGAGGCAGCAGUAGGGAAUCUUCCGCAAUGGACGAAAGUCUGACGGAGCAACGCCGCGUGAGUGAAGAAGGUUUUCGGAUCGUAAAACUCUGUUGUGAGGGAAGAACAAGUACCAAUUAACUACUGGUACCUUGACGGUACCUCACC
This 440-nucleotide ribosomal RNA is filed under the name uncultured bacterium. Its description in RNAcentral is "bacterial SSU rRNA". It matches the Rfam family "Bacterial small subunit ribosomal RNA", at positions 57 to 484 of the family's 1533-position model. The record is from RNAcentral.